This is a long non-coding RNA of Pygocentrus nattereri (red-bellied piranha), 856 nucleotides long. NCBI's taxonomy places the organism in Eukaryota, Metazoa, Chordata, Actinopteri, Characiformes, Serrasalmidae. The record is from Ensembl.
GUAAAAGGAGCAGUUCUGAAGUGGCUGAACCAGUAUUUCAGCAGCCUGAGCCAACACCUUAUGAUAGUGCUCAAGAACUUAAUGCACUGCAAGACAUUCUCAGGGACAUUCCUCCACAAGAGAAGGGCACUGUGCCACUAAGCUGGGCUGAACGGCAAGCUCAAAGCUCAGAGAAGUGGAAUGCUUCUAGAUCAGCCAUGGUUAAAAACAUAUUUCUCGCAGAGCACACAGACACCUAUAUCUGUGACAUCUGCCUGCAAAACACAUCUGUUGUGAGGUGCAGAGAUUGUUUGCCAAGACAGUUCCUGUGCAGUUCCUGCGAUACACAGAUACAUCAGCACAUCCUCCAUAACCGAGAAGCCAUGUUUGAGGGAUUCUAUCAACCCUUAGCCCCAAACAUGAUCAUUCAACUUCAAAAUGAUGGGUCACACCAGAUAAAGCAUGAAGUUCGACUGUUGCCGGUUCGUCUACCUCAACAGUGUACCUGUUCUCCCAGUCAGCUAAAGCUGACCUGUGGCAAAGAGGUCAUCCUUGUUGGAAUUAAUGGUAAGUACUUGGUUCAGUUCAAUUAAAUGCAAACGACUGAAUUCAUGCUGCUUACACAGCUCUUUUUGAUUUCAGGACGGUACCAACUAAAUUUGCCAACAUUGAGCUGUUCUCAGUGCAUGAAAAGCUGGACCACUGGACUUGAUGAACUAGUACAAUGUGGAUAUUGGCCUGCUACCAUCAACCACCAGACCAUCUUCCAUGUAGACCUGUUCCAGUCUUUCCAGGAUCUGAAGCAGCUGGCUCCUGGGCUUUCUCGUCAAGCAUUUAUUGGAAUGCUUGAUGAAAGAACAAAGUAUUUUGGCAGAGU